Molecule: ribosomal RNA, 465 nt
Filed under: uncultured bacterium
Lineage: Bacteria
Description: bacterial SSU rRNA
Rfam family: Bacterial small subunit ribosomal RNA
Source: RNAcentral
CCUACGGGUCGCACCAGUGGGGAAUAUUGCACAAUGGGCGCAAGCCUGAUGCAGCCAUGCCGCGUGUAUGAAGAAGGCCUUCGGGUUGUAAAGCACUUUCAGUAGGGAGGAAGGUAGUGUAGUUAACACCUGCAUUAUUUGACGUUACCUACAGAAGAAGCACCGGCUAACUCCGUGCCAGCAGCCGCGGUAAUACGGAGGGUGCGAGCGUUAAUCGGAAUUACUGGGCGUAAAGCGCAUGCAGGCGGCCUGUUAAGUCAGAUGUGAAAGCCCGGGGCUUAACCUCGGAAUUGCAUUUGAAACUGGCAGGCUAGAGUCUUGUAGAGGGGGGUAGAAUUUCAGGUGUAGCGGUGAAAUGCGUAGAGAUCUGAAGGAAUACCAGUGGCGAAGGCGGCCCCCUGGACAAAGACUGACGCUCAGAUGCGAAAGCGUGGGGAGCAAACAGGAUUAGAUACCCGCGUAGUC